This 774-nucleotide ribosomal RNA is filed under the name uncultured Neocallimastigales. RNAcentral describes it as "partial large subunit ribosomal RNA". It matches the Rfam family "Eukaryotic large subunit ribosomal RNA", at positions 26 to 616 of the family's 3401-position model. Lineage: Eukaryota; Fungi; Neocallimastigomycota; Neocallimastigomycetes; Neocallimastigales. The record is from RNAcentral.
CGCAUCUGUGCAUGCAGCAUAUCAAUAAGCGGAGGAAAAGAAACUAACAAGGAUUCCCCUAGUAACGGCGAGUGAAGCGGGAAGAGCUCAAAUUUGAAAUCUUAAAGGGUUUCCCUUUACGAAUUGUAGUUUAAAGAAGUGUUUUCUGUUGAGGUUUUGGUAAAAGUUCUUUGGAAUAGGACAUCAUAGAGGGUGAGAAUCCCGUAUUUGACCUUUACUUUCAACUUUGUGAUACACUUUCAAAGAGUCGGAUUGUUUGGGAAUGCAGUCCAAAAUGGGUGGUAAAUUUCAUCUAAAGCUAAAUAUUGGCGAGAGACCGAUAGCGAACAAGUACCGUGAGGGAAAGAUGAAAAGAACUUUGAAAAGAGAGUUAAACAGUACGUGAAAUUGUCAAAAGGGAAGCGUUUGACACCAGUGUUGUUUUUCUGAAAAUCAAUUAAAGAACUGUUUAUGCUAAGUUGUUUAGACUUUAUCAGCUAACUGUUUAGUUUUGAGCUUUUCUUUAAUGCACUUUUCAGUUAACAAGUCAACAUCAACUUCUUUUGCUGUAAAAAAGCUUGAGGAAGGUGGCUUGAGAUUCGUCUUAAGUGUUUAUAGCCUCUUGCCUAUGCAGUCGGAGAGAUUGAGGUCUGCAGCGUAGAUCCUUCGGGGCUAAAUGCAUUUGUGCUAAGUUAUAGCAUUUUAUAGGCAACUUGUUGACUAUGAUUUGUCUUGUAGCUUACUCGCUUAUGUUAUUUUACCUACGCUUAGGAUGUUGAGCGCAUGUCUCUCUCU